GAAUCUUUAGCUCAAAAUGGUAGAGCACUCGGUCAUCCCUCGAGAGGUUGGUGGUUCAAGUCCAUCAAGAUUCG
RNAcentral lists this transfer RNA (74 nucleotides) under Zingiber officinale. RNAcentral's name for it is "tRNA-Asp". It matches the Rfam family "tRNA". Rfam says of the family: Transfer RNA (tRNA) molecules are approximately 80 nucleotides in length. Their secondary structure includes four short double-helical elements and three loops (D, anti-codon, and T loops). Further hydrogen bonds mediate the characteristic L-shaped molecular structure. tRNAs have two regions of fundamental functional importance: the anti-codon, which is responsible for specific mRNA codon recognition, and the 3' end, to which the tRNAs corresponding amino acid is attached (by aminoacyl-tRNA synthetases). tRNAs cope with the degeneracy of the genetic code in two manners: having more than one tRNA (with a specific anti-codon) for a particular amino acid; and 'wobble' base-pairing, i.e. permitting non-standard base-pairing at the 3rd anti-codon position. The record is from RNAcentral. Lineage: Eukaryota; Viridiplantae; Streptophyta; Magnoliopsida; Zingiberales; Zingiberaceae.